RNAcentral lists this non-coding RNA (30 nucleotides) under Mus musculus (house mouse). Lineage: Eukaryota; Metazoa; Chordata; Mammalia; Rodentia; Muridae. The record is from RNAcentral.
UAGCCUCUAAUAAUGGAUGUGGUUGCUGGU